RNAcentral lists this ribosomal RNA (131 nucleotides) under Scytalidium verruculosum. RNAcentral describes it as "Scytalidium verrucosum partial 28S ribosomal RNA". The stretch from base 75 to 131 matches the Rfam family "Eukaryotic large subunit ribosomal RNA", at positions 1 to 57 of the family's 3401-position model. The record is from RNAcentral. Lineage: Eukaryota; Fungi; Ascomycota; Leotiomycetes.
CCAUAGCGUAGUAGUAAAACCCUCGUUACUGGUAAUCGUCGCGGCCACGCCGUUAAACCCCAACUUCUGAAUGUUGACCUCGGAUCAGGUAGGAAUACCCGCUGAACUUAAGCAUAUCAAUAAGCGGAGGA